AAAGUUCCCUUCGGGGAGCAAGUAGAGUGGCGCACGGGUGAGUAACACGUAGGUAAUCUACCUUCGGAUGGGGAAUAACAACCGGAAACGGUUGCUAAUACCGCAUAAUGCAGCGGCACCUAAUGGUGACAGUUGUUAAAGCGGGGGAUCGCAAGACCUCGCGUCUGGAGAGGAGCCUGCGGCGGAUUAGCUUGUUGGUGAGGUAAUGGCUCACCAAGGCGAUGAUCCGUAGCCGGCCUGAGAGGGCGGUCGGCCACACUGACACUGACAUACGGGUCAGACUCCUACGGGAGGCAGCAGUCGGGAAUUUUGGGCAAUGGGCGAAAGCCUGACCCAGCAACGCCGCGUGAAGGAUGAAAUCCCUCGGGAUGUGAACUUCGCAAGAACGGGAAGAAUAAGCGAGAGUUAAUAUCUUUCGCGAUGACGGUACCGUUUGUAAGCUCCGGCUAACUCCGUGCCAGCAGCCGCGGUAAUACGGGGGGAGCAAGCGUUGUUCGGAUUUACUGGGCGUAAAGGGCGCGUAGGCGGCCACCGCAAGUCGAUUGUGAAAUCUCCGGGCUUAACCCGGAAAGGUCAACCGAUACUGCGGGGCUAGAGUGCGGAAGGGGCAACUGGAAUUCUUGGUGUAGCGGUGAAAUGCGUAGAUAUCAAGAGGAACACCUGCGGCGAAGGCGGGUUGCUGGGCCGACACUGACGCUGAUGCGCGAAAGCUAGGGGAGCGAACGGGAUUAGAUACCCCGGUAGUCCUAGCCUUAAACGAUGAAUGCUUGGUGUCUGGGGUUUUAUAGUCCCCGGGUGCCGUCGCUAACGCUUUAAGCAUUCCGCCUGGGGAGUACGGUCGCAAGACUGAAACUC
This 855-nucleotide ribosomal RNA is filed under the name uncultured Pseudomonadota bacterium. Its description in RNAcentral is "bacterial SSU rRNA". It matches the Rfam family "Bacterial small subunit ribosomal RNA", at positions 70 to 902 of the family's 1533-position model. The record is from RNAcentral. Lineage: Bacteria; Pseudomonadati; Pseudomonadota.